AUACCUUUCUCGGCCUUUUGGCUAAGAUCGGGUGUAGUAUCGGUUCUUGUCGUCACCCUUGCGUUGCAGUAUUGCCUGGGAAGGCACACUCCUACCAAAUCAAUCCAAAUUUUUGUCAUUUUCU
RNAcentral lists this small nuclear RNA (124 nucleotides) under Amborella trichopoda. RNAcentral's name for it is "U2 spliceosomal RNA". It matches the Rfam family "U2 spliceosomal RNA". From Rfam's summary of the family: U2 is a small nuclear RNA (snRNA) component of the spliceosome (involved in pre-mRNA splicing). Complementary binding between U2 snRNA (in an area lying towards the 5' end but 3' to hairpin I) and the branchpoint sequence (BPS) of the intron results the bulging out of an unpaired adenosine, on the BPS, which initiates a nucleophilic attack at the intronic 5' splice site, thus starting the first of two transesterification reactions that mediate splicing. The record is from Rfam by way of RNAcentral. Lineage: Eukaryota; Viridiplantae; Streptophyta; Magnoliopsida; Amborellales; Amborellaceae.